This 516-nucleotide ribosomal RNA is filed under the name uncultured bacterium. RNAcentral's name for it is "bacterial SSU rRNA". It matches the Rfam family "Bacterial small subunit ribosomal RNA", at positions 9 to 526 of the family's 1533-position model. The record is from RNAcentral.
GAGUUUGAUCCUGGCUCAGGAUGAACGCUGGCGGCGUGCUUAACACAUGCAAGUCGAACGGGAAACCUUUUAUUGAAGCUUCGGCAGAUUUAGAUUGUUUCUAGUGGCGGACGGGUGAGUAACGCGUGGGUAACCUGCCUUAUACCGGGGGAUAACAGCCAGAAAUGGUUGCUAAUACCGCAUAAGCGCACGAGAGGACAUCCUCUUGUGUGAAAAACUCCGGUGGUACAGGAUGGGCCCGCGUCUGAUUAGCUGGUUGGCAGGGUAACGGCCUACCAAGGCGACGAUCAGUAGCCGGUCUGAGAGGAUGAACGGCCACAUUGGAACUGAGACACGGUCCAAACUCCUACGGGAGGCAGCAGUGGGGAAUAUUGCACAAUGGGCGAAAGCCUGAUGCAGCGACGCCGCGUGAGCGAUGAAGUAUUUCGGUAUGUAAAGCUCUAUCAGCAGGGAAGAUAAUGACGGUACCUGACUAAGAAGCUCCGGCUAAAUACGUGCCAGCCGCCGCGGUAAUAC